Non-coding RNA from Podarcis lilfordi (Lilford's wall lizard), 71 nucleotides. NCBI's taxonomy places the organism in Eukaryota, Metazoa, Chordata, Lepidosauria, Squamata, Lacertidae. The record is from the annotation of a GenBank genome assembly.
UAUAUGGGUGCGUGUGUGUGUAUAUAUAUAUAUAUAUAUAUAUAUAUACAUGCACACAUCACAUACAUAUG